GAUGAACGCUGGCGGCGUGCCUAAUACAUGCAAGUCGAGCGAACAGACGAGGAGCUUGCUCCUCUGACGUUAGCGGCGGACGGGUGAGUAAAACGUGGAUAAACUACCUAUACGACUGGGAUAACUUCGGGAAACCGGAGCUAAUACCGGAAAAUAUAUUGAACAGCAUGGUUCAAUAGUGAAAGACGGUUUUGCUGUCACUUAUAGCUGGAUCCGCGCCGCAUUAGCUAGUUGGUAAGGUAACGGCUUACCAAGGCAACGAUGCGUAGCCGACCUGAGAGGGUGAUCGGCCACACUGUAACUGAGACACGGUCCAGACUCCUACGGGAGGCAGCAGUAGGGAAUCUUCCGCAAUGGGCGAAAGCCUGACGGAGCAACGCCGCGUGAGUGAUGAAGGUCUUCGGAUCGUAAAACUCUGUUAUUAGGGAAGAACAAAUGUGUAAGUACCUAUGCACGUCUUGACGGUACCUAAUCAGAAAGCUACGGCUAACUCCGUG
Molecule: ribosomal RNA, 497 nt
Filed under: uncultured bacterium
Lineage: Bacteria
Description: partial 16S ribosomal RNA
Rfam family: Bacterial small subunit ribosomal RNA
Source: RNAcentral